Molecule: long non-coding RNA, 1414 nt
Organism: Vicia villosa (hairy vetch)
Lineage: Eukaryota; Viridiplantae; Streptophyta; Magnoliopsida; Fabales; Fabaceae
Exons: 2
Source: RefSeq, a predicted model, not a curated record
CAUGGGGGUGUAGGAAAUGAAUUCGAAUGGCCCAAGGAGUGUUUGAUCCAGAUUUACUUAGAUUUGUUAACUAUCCCCUAAUCAGAUUAAACCUAAUUAACUCUGAUUAAAUUUAAUUAGUAGAAAUGUUAAUUAAAAAAAUGAAAAUAGUAAAAGGGGAAUUAGGGUUUUAGUUGUGACCUUCACGUUUGUUUCAGAACUUCGCCCUCCCUCUCUCAAGCGACGGCGGUGGUACGGUGGAGAAAUCCGUCUUCCCCGACCAAACUCUUGGUCCCUCCGUCGUAUCUCUACCCCUAAUCUCCAUCUUAGUCUCUUAUUGUUCUGAGAUACAGGAGAUUAACGAUCUAGAAUACCAGAGGAUCGGCUUCAGCUAGCUCGGAUGCGAAUUAAACGCACAGAACGGAGAACGAGUUUCGAAGAUAGGUAACCAAGCUUCGCUCUUCUCCCUCUUCUUGUAAUUCUCUUCUGCUCGGUUAUGAAUCUUGUUCUGAAACGUUGUUGUUGGUGAUGAUGAGGUUGGAAUUUCGUUCCUGAAGAUUGAAGAUGUGAUGCUGAAUGCGAUUGAAGAAGAUGAUUCAAGAUGAGUCGAGAAUUGAAGAUUGAAGCGUCAAAGAGAGAAUUCAAGUUCUGACUAUCAUUCCGUUGAUUGAUUCUUUUCUUCUAUUCUUCUAAAGAAGACGGAUGGAAGGUUGAAUGGAGAAUCGAGGAAAGAGUUGAAGGUUGGUGGUGAAGAGGUGAAGAAGAUUGGAGGGUAUGAAGAGUGAAAGUUCGCAGAGAGAUUGAAGAGCAAAAAUGGUGGAGCAGAGAGUGAAGGUAGGUGAAUAUGUGUGAACAAUGGUGAAGUUGAAUGAAAGGGAUGAAAUGGUGGAGAGUGAAAACAGAGUGGUGAAGGUCAAAAAUGGCGGAGCCUUCUGAAUUGGUGGUGUUUCUGAUUUUAUAGAAGUGGAGGAGAUUGAAUCUGAGGAUGAGGUGAAUUGAAUGCACGUGGGCGAUUUUUCGGAUGUCGGGAUAUAAUUGAGGGGUCUAUUUUGAAUCAUGCAUAAAGAGGAGGCUUUGAAGGCUAAGAUGAUGAAGCUUGUAGGAGCAGUAGGAAAAAUAAUGAUUUUUGUGUAAUCCUUAUUGUGAGAUGGAUUGGAUGGCGGUGUUUCGAUAUUAGCAUGAAACCUUGGAAUUAUAGAACAUGUACUCUUUGUUUUCUCUUGCCCUUUUUCCUUGUAUUUUGUAGGUGGUAAUGAAAUGACACCUUUUGUAAUCAAAAUAGAGCUUGCACGACAUUCCUUGUUUCUAGCUUAUAUUUUUUUAUAUCUUAGGUGACUUAGCCCUUUGAUGAUACUUGAAUAGUGAAGAAUUAGAAUAUUGAAUAAUGGAUGUAGCUUGAUGUAUAAAUUUGAAUCAGUGAGCCCGCUUUCCAAAA